RNAcentral lists this ribosomal RNA (290 nucleotides) under uncultured Lachnospiraceae bacterium. Its description in RNAcentral is "partial 16S ribosomal RNA". The stretch from base 50 to 290 matches the Rfam family "Bacterial small subunit ribosomal RNA", at positions 100 to 339 of the family's 1533-position model. Lineage: Bacteria; Bacillati; Bacillota; Clostridia; Lachnospirales; Lachnospiraceae. The record is from RNAcentral.
AAGCGGUUUCAAUGAAGUUUUCGGAUGGAAUUGAAAUUGACUUAGCGGCGGACGGGUGAGUAACGCGUGGGUAACCUGCCUUACACGUGGGGGAUAACAGUUAGAAAUGACUGCUAAUACCGCAUAAGCGCACAGGGCCGCAUGGUCUGGUGUAGAAAAACUCCGGUGGUGUAAGAUGGACCCGCGUCUGAUUAGGUAGUUGGUGGGGUAACGGCCCACCAAGCCGACGAUCAGUAGCCGGACUGAGAGGUUGACCGGCCACAUUGGGACUGAGAUACGGCCCAGACUCC